AUCAGCCACACUGGAACUGAGACACGGUCCAGACUCCUACGGGAGGCAGCAGUGGGGAAUAUUGGACAAUGGGCGCAAGCCUGAUCCAGCCAUGCCGCGUGUGUGAAGAAGGCCUUMKGGUUGUAAAGCACUUUMAGCGAGGAGGAAGGSUWCKUUAGWUAAUASCUWGMGAUAKUKGACGUUACUCGCAGAAKAAGCACCGGCUAACUCUGUGCCAGCAGCCGCGGUAAUACAGAGGGUGCAAGCGUUAAUCGGAAUUACUGGGCGUAAAGCGCACGUAGGCGGUUUUUUAAGUCAGAUGUGAAAGCCCCGGGCUCAACCUGGGAAUUGCAUUUGAAACUGGAAAACUAGAGUGUGUGAGAGGGGGGUAGAAUUCCAAGUGUAGCGGUGAAAUGCGUAGAGAUUUGGAGGAAUACCAGUGGCGAAGGCGGCCCCCUGGCACAACACUGACGCUCAGGUGCGAAAGCGUGGGGAGCAAACAGGAUUAGAUACCCUGGUAGUCCACGCCGUAAACGAUGUCUACUAGCUGUUCGUGGUCUUGUACCGUGAGUAGCGCAGCUAACGCRWUAAGUAGACCGCCUGGGGAGUACGGUCGCAAGAUUAAAACUCAAAUGAAUUGACGGGGGCCCGCACA
Molecule: ribosomal RNA, 634 nt
Filed under: uncultured Rheinheimera sp.
Lineage: Bacteria; Pseudomonadati; Pseudomonadota; Gammaproteobacteria; Chromatiales; Chromatiaceae
Description: partial 16S ribosomal RNA
Rfam family: Bacterial small subunit ribosomal RNA
Source: RNAcentral